CCCCUCUCGGGGUCACGCCUGGAGAGUUGCCAGUACUCUACCAGUGUCGGCUAUGGGAGGGAGAGUCGAGCAGAGGCCUACCCGUUCCAUUCCUAGCUUGGCCAGUGGCUAGCAAGUGGAAGGCACUCGCUACAAGU
Molecule: small nucleolar RNA, 137 nt
Filed under: Ornithorhynchus anatinus (platypus)
Lineage: Eukaryota; Metazoa; Chordata; Mammalia; Monotremata; Ornithorhynchidae
Source: RNAcentral